UGGGGAAUAUUGCACAAUGGGCGCAAGCCUGAUGCAGCCAUGCCGCGUGUGUGAAGAAGGCCUUCGGGUUGUAAAGCACUUUCAGCGAGGAGGAAGGUGGUGAGCUUAAUACGCUCAUCAAUUGACGUUACUCGCAGAAGAAGCACCGGCUAACUCCGUGCCAGCAGCCGCGGUAAUACGGAGGGUGCAAGCGUUAAUCGGAAUUACUGGGCGUAAAGCGCACGCAGGCGGUUUGUUAAGUCAGAUGUGAAAUCCCCGGGCUCAACCUGGGAACUGCAUUUGAAACUGGCAAGCUAGAGUCUCGUAGAGGGGGGUAGAAUUCCAGGUGUAGCGGUGAAAUGCGUAGAGAUCUGGAGGAAUACCGGUGGCGAAGGCGGCCCCCUGGACGAAGACUGACGCUCAGGUGCGAAAGGCGUGGGGCAGCAAACAGGAUUAGAUACCCUGGUAGUCCACGCUGUAAAACGAUGUCGAUUUUGGAGGUUGUGCCCCUUGAGGCGUGGCUUCCGGAGCUAACGCGUUAAAUCG
RNAcentral lists this ribosomal RNA (525 nucleotides) under uncultured bacterium. RNAcentral describes it as "partial 16S ribosomal RNA". It matches the Rfam family "Bacterial small subunit ribosomal RNA", at positions 355 to 867 of the family's 1533-position model. The record is from RNAcentral.